RNAcentral lists this ribosomal RNA (253 nucleotides) under uncultured bacterium. Its description in RNAcentral is "partial 16S ribosomal RNA". It matches the Rfam family "Bacterial small subunit ribosomal RNA", at positions 524 to 776 of the family's 1533-position model. The record is from RNAcentral.
UACGUAGGGUCCGAGCGUUGUCCGGAAUUAUUGGGCGUAAAGGGCUCGUAGGCGGUUUGUCGCGUCGGGAGUGAAAACACGGGGCUUAACCCCGUGCCUGCUUCCGAUACGGGCAGACUAGAGGUAUGCAGGGGAGAACGGAAUUCCUGGUGUAGCGGUGAAAUGCGCAGAUAUCAGGAGGAACACCCGUGGCUAAGGCGGUUCUCUAGUACGGUACUGACGCUGAGACGCGAAAGCGUGGGGAGCGAACAGG